AUGGCGGAGUGGAAGGAGGUCCACCAGCGCUCCCCUCCACAGAUGCAGGCUCGGAGUCAGGCCAGCUGGACGGCGCCGGAGGUAGGGUGGGUGAAAGCCAACUCCGACAGGGCGCUGUCUACACAAAGGACGAGGGGAGGAGCUGGUGUUGUUCUCCGUGACCACAACGGGGGCUUCCUGGCUGCUGCAUGCCAUUCAAUCAAGAAUGUGGCGAGCCCGGAGGUGGCUGAGGCCCUUGCGUGCAAGCGGGCGAUCCAGGUGGCAGCUGAAAUGAACGUGCAACAAUUGCAUCUGGAGCUGGACAAUGCGGGCGUGGCGCGAGCUAUCUCCAGUGAGGAGAGGGAUCUGUCCAUGGUUGGUCCUCUAGUGCAGGAGAUCAAGAAUCUGCUCCAAGUGUUCGCGGACGUGAAGGUGUCGUGGAGGGGCCGUGAAGCAAAUCGGGUCGCCGACAAGUUAGCUAAGGUAGGGUUAGGUGAUGAUCUUUGCAAAGUGUGGUUUUCUGUUCCUCUACGGUUCAUUCUGGAGUUCUUGUCGGACGACAUUCCUAGCUUCGGUUAA
Molecule: ribosomal RNA, 558 nt
Filed under: Triticum aestivum (bread wheat)
Lineage: Eukaryota; Viridiplantae; Streptophyta; Magnoliopsida; Poales; Poaceae
Description: partial small subunit ribosomal RNA
Source: RNAcentral